UACGUAGGGUGCAAGCGUUGUCCGGAAUUAUUGGGCGUAAAGAGCUCGUAGGCGGUUUGUUGCGUCGGCUGUGGAAUCCCGAGGCUCAACCUCGGGUCUGCAGUCGAUACGAGCAAACUAGAGUGUUGCAGGGGAGACUGGAAUUCCUAGUGUAGCGGUGAAAUGCGCAGAUAUCAGGAGGAACACCGGUGGCGAAGGCGGGUCUCUGGGCAACAACUGACGCUGAGGAGCGAAAGCGUGGGGAGCGAACAGG
This 253-nucleotide ribosomal RNA is filed under the name uncultured bacterium. RNAcentral's name for it is "partial 16S ribosomal RNA". It matches the Rfam family "Bacterial small subunit ribosomal RNA", at positions 524 to 776 of the family's 1533-position model. The record is from RNAcentral.